RNAcentral lists this ribosomal RNA (558 nucleotides) under Russula sp. VH-2016j. RNAcentral's name for it is "partial 12S small subunit ribosomal RNA". It matches the Rfam family "Bacterial small subunit ribosomal RNA", at positions 359 to 951 of the family's 1533-position model. The record is from RNAcentral. Lineage: Eukaryota; Fungi; Basidiomycota; Agaricomycetes; Russulales; Russulaceae.
GAAUAUUAGUCAAUGCUCGAAAGAGUGAACUAGCUAACUGAAAUCAAUUAUAAUAAUUGAUAACAUAAGAGAAAAUAAUGAUAUUACCUUAUUAUUAGUGUCGUCCAAAACUGGUGCCAGAAGACUCGGUAAGGCCAGAGACACAAACGUUAAUCAUCUUAAUCAGGCGUAAAGGGUUUGUAGGCGGCUUAAAAAUUUACUUAUAAAAAAUAAUAAAAAAACCAAAAAUAAGUAAAGAAUAAAAGCUAGAAUCAAAUAGAGGAUAUAUGAAAGAAUACUUAGAGUAGGUCUGAUAUCCUUAGAUACUAAGUAGAAUAUUAAAGGCGAAAGCUUUUUUCCAUUAAUGAUUGACGCUCAGAAACGAAGGUGAGGAUAGGAAAUAGGAUUAGAUACCCAGAAUACCCCUCUCUGUCAACGAUGAAUGGUAGUUUAUUAGUAAAAAUUAUUAAUGACAAUGUUAACACGAUAACCAUUCCGCCUUGUGAGUACAACUGCAAAGUUGAAAACAAAAAAAUUAGUCGGUUUCGGAGCAAACGAAGUGAAGCAUGUUAUUUAAUU